CCCACUUCCAGACCAACUUCCGGGUGUGUCAGCCGCCCUUCCCCCACCGUCGCCGGCGGGAACCGCCCGUCUUCUCCGCCAGCAGCUUCCGCCUGCCGCAGUACCGGCACGCGCUCUGGGGUCCCGCCCCUUCCCAGGGAUAGUGACCGGGCGAGCGCGCGCCUCGCGGUACCGAAGACAUCUGAGCACGGGCCAGGGCUUCGGCACCAGAAGCGGGUUGUGAUGGUGCUGGAGAAGACCCUUGAGAGUCCCUUGGACAGCAAGAUCAAACCAGUCAAUCCUAAAGGAAAUCAACCGUGAAUAUUAACUGGAAGGACUAUGCUGAAGCUCCAAUAUUUUGGCCACCUGAUGUGAAGAGCUUACUCAUUGGAAAAGACCUUGAUGCUAGGAAAGAUUAAGGGCAGGAGGGAAAGGGGGUAACAGAAGAUGAGAUAGUUGGAUGGCAUCACCAACUCAAUGGACAUGAGUUUGAGAAACUCCAGGAGAUGGUGAAGGACAGGGAAGCCUGGCAUACUGCAGUUCAUAGAAUUGCAAGUAGUCAGAUACAGCUUAGCGACUGAAAAACAAUGGUGACCUCCAAGAGGGCUCACACUAAGGGGCACUUCCUGGGACUGCUGCUGCUAGUGCCCCCAUCCCUGCAGCGAGCCACUGCUGACCCACGACUCCGCAGGAGUUCAUCGAACACUAGAUGGUUGGUCUGGUUCAGUCUCCUGUGGGGUCACUGCUCCUUUCCUCUCAGUCCUGGCGCACACAAGAUUUUGUUUGUGCCCUCCAAGUGUGAAGUCUCUAUUUCUCUCAGUCCUAUGGAAGUCCUGCAAUCAAAUCCUGUUGGCCUUCACAGUCAGAAUCCCUGGGGAUUCCUAGUCCCUUUGCUGGAUCCCCAGGCUAGGACACUCAGAACCAUCACAAGAGUGGGAGAACUUCUUUGAUAUUAGUGUUCUCCAGUUUGUGGGUUGCCUGCUAGGCGGGUAUGGGAUUUAACUUUAUCGUGAUUGUGCCCUCCCCCCACCAUCUCGUUGUAGCUUCUCCUUUGUCUUUAGAUGUGGGAUAUCUUUUUUUGGUGGGUUCCAGCAUCCUCCUGUCCAUGGUUGUUCAAAAGCUAGUUGGUGCUCUCACAGGAGAUGGGCACAUGUCCUUGUACCCUGCCAUCUUGAACCAGUCAACCCUGAAGACAAGACUAUAAGUGAGUGAUUAUAAACAGUGAUUGCAGAAACUGAUUCAUGAUGGAGUUUAAGAAGUAGCCAAAAAUGUCAAGAGUUGCAGAGAAGGGAAUAAGAACUGAGAAGAGAUGGUGUUCAUCUAGUGAUAUUUAUAGAAGCAGUUCAUGAAUAAGAACCUUGGAAUUCUUUCAUCUAUUUUAUGGGUCAACUUUGUAACUGAAUUUUAAGUUCAAAAUUCCAGUUGCCAAGGAGAGCAAGUCUGUCCAGUUUGGGUCAGAUAUCCACACCUGCUUCACUCAGCCAUGCAGUUUAGACUACAAGUUACAUGUGUUGAAUGGUGCUGCUGUUCCGUCCCUGUGCUGGGGAGGGAGACAUCACUGUGAGCCCUGUGUUUGAGCUAAGAGGGAGGUAUCCAUUGUAUUUUACUAUUUAGUUGCUUUUCCCCACAUGUAUGAUGACAAAAAUGUCUUCAGCCUGCCUACUUGAUCCAGUCAUUCUAUUACAACAGCCCCUGCUCUUGCCCUCUUUCAG
This is a long non-coding RNA of Bos taurus (domestic cattle), 1691 nucleotides long. The record is from Ensembl. NCBI's taxonomy places the organism in Eukaryota, Metazoa, Chordata, Mammalia, Artiodactyla, Bovidae.